This 75-nucleotide transfer RNA is filed under the name Candidatus Woesearchaeota archaeon. Its description in RNAcentral is "tRNA-Glu". It matches the Rfam family "tRNA". From Rfam's summary of the family: Transfer RNA (tRNA) molecules are approximately 80 nucleotides in length. Their secondary structure includes four short double-helical elements and three loops (D, anti-codon, and T loops). Lineage: Archaea; Nanobdellati; Candidatus Woesearchaeota. The record is from RNAcentral.
GCUCCUGUAGUGUAGUCCGGCCAAGCAUGAAGCCCUCUCGAGGCUUCGACCCGGGUUCAAAUCCCGGCGGGAGCA